GGCGCCCGACCCGUCGUCGCCAGCGACCACAAGCAACGACCGUUGCACCUCUCCGCGCGCCAUCCCGAGGCCCCAGCCACGCCGCGCCACCCCGAGGCCCCAGCUACGCCGCGCCACCAUCCUCCUCGACCUCGCCUCUCCGUGCGAACAAACGGCGUCACCGCCGGCGGCCACGGCCACCGUGCUUGAACUGACGGGCGUCGAUGGCACGGGGCUCAUCUUCGAGGUGUUCGCCAUGCUGGCCGACACAUUCUCCGGCGGGGUCUCUUCAUGGCGACGGUGGCGUUGCACCUGUGAGAAAGACAGGUAAGGGAAGAUAUAAAGGAGGAGAGGCAGGGAGAAGGAGAGGGUGCGAGGAACGACGUGGAGGUCCCGUCUCCCACGUGGGGGGGGGCGACGAGGUGCACGGCGGCAGCAGCUGUCCUGCGUGCGGCCAGAAAGAGAGCCGGGAUGAAGAAGGGAAGGAAGAGGUGGCGGGAUCCUGCGGGGCUGGAUUGGUGCCCCGGUGGUGCUACUGCUGCCGUUGGACGCCGGUCGAAGGGACAAGUCCCUAGAGAAGGACGGGGUUCAAGUUGUUGGGCCGGUGGCAGGGGCAGCAUGAUGUUUUCGUCAGGUAACAACCUAGCCAUCGACUCAAGAUUUAACUGAACCAAUUCCUUUAAUUAAAGCUCCAAAUCGUUGUUAUUUGAUUCACUAACUGGUUACUAGCAACAACUAAUUGAACAUAUAAUUGUUGAUUUCUGUACAAACAAUAUCUUUAGUUGUUUCAGAUCUUCAAUAAGGAUCAUCAAGCCCUCUUGUUUUUAUCUGAAGAAUAGACAUUGUAAUUGUGCCUCCAUUAUGUCUAAAAGUCAGGUAUCGGAAAAAUGUCAUUAGCAUAUCUCUGUCACGAUGGAAGAUUGGUUAGACAGAAAAAGGACCUCUGGUUAUGUAUGACAUGAUGCAAGGCACAUAUCUCUGAAUGAAGCGCAACAAGAAUUGACAUCCUCUAAUGCUAACUGUUGACCAUUCUUUUCUGAAGUAUCAGGUCAGUAUCCCAUGUGCCCCCUAUUCAUCUGUCAUCGCUGCAUAAAAAUUUAAUGCAGUUUUUAAGCCUAUGUUUAAGGGUAGCUACAUCUUUAUGGACCAACCAUAUUAACUUUUUGAGAUAACAAAUCAACCUUCAUCAUGUACUUAUGUUGUAACUUCUCCCAUCUUUUGUGCUAUUAUCUAAAAGAGGUGUGGAUUGGAAUCAGUUUUUUUUGCUGCACCCCCAUUCUGACGAGGUCACACACACAUACCACUGGGAAUCCCACGAACCCUAUGUCCGAGCACGAGCGACGGCAAUAGCAUCUGCAAGUACUUGACCAACACGCUACCCGGGUGUGGUAUCCACUAUUGAGGCCAAGCAACCAAGCUCGGUCAUCCUUAAGUGUGUUUGUGUCCACCACCUGAUGAAGAACGGGGAGAAGAUUGCUGACUUUGUGCCUAAUGAUGGUUGCCUGAACUUCGUAGAGCAAACUGACGAGGUGUUGAUUGCUGAAUUUGGUCUUAAGAGGCACGUCGUGGGAAAUAUCCCUUGUGGCAGGUUCAAAGUUGUGAUGGUAUCUGGUGUCUCCCAGCGAGAUUUGUUCCUUCUCUUAACAGUUACUAUUAAGAACAAAUUUAUGUUUCCAUCAAAAAAGUUGGCCGGCCCCAGCAAAAAAAAGAACAGUUCCAGCAAAAAAAGAUCGCCGCCGUGGUCACAGGUGUCAACAAGCAGUCUUCAGAAUCAUCAAUAAGCCAACAGCGAGAAAUAAGUUUAAGAAUUGAGUUCCCUUAACAGGGAAAUAAGGAAGGGAAGAAACAAAUAGGGAACAAUCAGACGAAGCAUCAAGGAAAAUGGAUUGAACAAUCAGAUGAAGCAUCCAUCUCGAGGAGAAGCAUGGUCUGCAAGGAGACCAAUCAUCUUGAGGUGGUUCUUUCAGCUACUGCAUGUUCCAUUAUGGAGAAGGGUACUUAGUCGAUCUUAGGAGCCAGACUCUGCUUUCCUUGCAGGGAGAAUUUUAAUAAAUGGUGAUAUUACUCUCCCAACAAUUCUUUUAUCACUACAAAAUGUGUAGGAACCUUAUUUUUCCCUGAGAUACUGUAAUUGAGGAACCGAGAGCCGCGACGGAACAUUGUAUUUUGCACUACAUCCUGUAUUUGCUUUGUGGGAAGCUGGCUUGAGGACAAGUAUGUCACUCCAUUUUCGCUGUGAGUGAUUCUUCAUAUGACGGUAGUGUUGCUUGUGUUCAUAAUCAGUCUCUAUGUAAUGUUUCGGUAGAGAGAGUUGUAACGCCUCGGUCUUCUUGCUGAGUUGCAGAAUGCUGUUGUUCACUCUGCAAUAGGAUGGAUGAACAUGGUUUUCUUUAUUUUA
Molecule: RNA transcript, 2377 nt
Organism: Triticum dicoccoides
Lineage: Eukaryota; Viridiplantae; Streptophyta; Magnoliopsida; Poales; Poaceae
Exons: 4
Source: RefSeq, a predicted model, not a curated record